AAGCAGCUACAGGGACACCAUGACUUGGAAGGCCCUUCUCCUCAGCCUCCUGGCUCAUUACACAGGCUCUGUAGCCACUUAUGUGCUGACUCAGCCAUCAUCAGUAUCAGUGACCCCAGGACAAGCAGCCAGAAUCACCUGUGAAGGCGAUAGUAUUGGCAGCUAUAGUGUGCACUGGUACCAGCAGAAACCAGCACAGUCCCCGCUGCUCAUCAUCUACAAUGAUAAUAACUGUCCCUCAGGGAUCCCUGACCGAUUCACUGGCUCCAACUUUGGGAACACAGCCACCCUGACCAUCAGUGGGGCCCAGGCUGGAGAUGAGGCUGACUAUUACUGUCAGGUGUGGGAUGGCAGUGCUGCUCACAGUGACUCGAGCAGACAGGGAAGUCUUUGUGCCCUGCCUGUGCUGACCCAGACGCCAUCUGCAUCUGCCUCCCUGGGAGCCUCAGCCACACUCACCUGCACCCUGAGCAGUGAGCACAGCAACUACUACAUUUUAUGGUAUCAGCAGAGGCUGAGGAACAGCCCCCAGUAUGUGAUGAAGGUGAACAGUGAUGGCAGCCACAACAAGGGGACUAGGAUCUCUGAUUGCUUCACAGGCUCUAGUUCUGGGGCUAAUCGUUAA
Non-coding RNA from Ictidomys tridecemlineatus (thirteen-lined ground squirrel), 625 nucleotides. NCBI's taxonomy places the organism in Eukaryota, Metazoa, Chordata, Mammalia, Rodentia, Sciuridae. The record is from the annotation of a RefSeq genome assembly.